UCUUCCGGAGCUCUCUGAGGCUGCAAGCGAUGCCAUGGAUCAGCUCCUUGCCUUCUUGGCCAUUUCUCAGCGAGUUUAUGCUGUGCUCUAGGAAGCUACGAUCUUCUUCCAGUGCCUUCAGCUUUGCAGUGAGUUCAGAGAUCUCAUCUUCAAAAUUAACCAAGUCAUUCUCACUGACCAUUGCAUAGUACUGACCCUCAGGAUCAUCUUUACCAUUUGUCAAUCCCUCUGUACCAUUAGAUAAGUACCUGAAGUUGCGACCAUUUCUUAUCACAUUGGUCAUCUCUGAAUUCUCUGAAUUGGUCAUUUCUGAAUCUUCAUCAGCAUCUUGGUAUACAUCCUCACUGUUUGUGACAUCAAAUGUGUCUUCUUUGUCGUCAAUCUUUUUCGGGUCGAUGAACUUGCCGUUGUUUGAGAAUUGGUGGAGAUUCUGUCUUAGUUUCUUCAGGUGUUUUGAUAUAUACGCCUUCUCGUCUUCGAACAAUGAGAGCGAUCGAGCUGUUCUUGACAUGCUAGUCUCACAUUCCUCUGAACGUGAAAUGCGCAUCGCGUCGCGUAUCUCGUUAACGAGCGAUUGGUCUCUCAGCUUGGUCUUGUAGCCUUCGAUCUCGGCUUCGAGCUCUUGCACCAUGGCAGCCAUCUUCUGAAGAUCCUCACGGUCGUACUGGCUUUGCUCUUCCAUCAUCCUCUGAUACUGCAAGGUUUCCAUCUGCAUUGCUGCUUUCUCUUCUUGUAGCCUGGUGAUCAUGGACAUGGUUUGGUUUGUGGCAAUGGCUGAAGCAUUCCUCUCUUCUUCUAGCUCUUUCCAGAGAAGACUUAUCGACUUCCGGUCCAAUUCGAUUUGCUUCUUCAGUUGAUCAACUGUACAAUGUUCUUCAGCUUCAUCAAUGGCCAUGCUCUCAGAAAUACUACCUGAAUAAUUCCUGUCAAGAGAGAGUGCUCUAGUGAUAUUGUUCAGUAUGGCUUGCUCUUGUACACCAGGGAUAUUGAUGGCAUCAUUUGGAGAAACUUGUGACAACAGUAACUGCAGAUCUUCAUGAGCUUUGAAAGAAUCCUUCAUUGCAGUUCUAUCGGUAAAUUCAGCUUUCGGUUCAUUCUCCGCGGUACUGGUUUCGGCAGGCUUAUCAUGAAUAGUUAAUCCAACAAUGUUUUUUUUUUUAACAUUUGGAGAGGAUAGUGCAAACCUGUUGUGUCUGAAUCUUCGGUAGGAUGCUGAACAGUUUUGCUGGAAAAGUCAGUUGACUGAAGAUCUGCAUUGCCAUCAGCUCUGAAGUGGUACAACUCUGCUGAAACUUGAGAAUUCUUACUGUCAGAACCACCAUUCUGGAGUUGUAUCAAGUCAGAGUUCUUAGCCACUUGAUCCUGUGCAAUGUCAUCUGUAGGAAUAACACCUGCAAAUUUUGUUUUUGGAUGGCUCAAAGUAAAAUCUUCCUUCAAAUUAUCAACUGCAUCAUCCAGCAAGCUAGCAACACCACCAUGUUGCCAGGGCUCUGAUUCAGAGUCAGAAGUCUUCAGCUCACUAUACCUGACAAGACUGAUCUCCUCAAUAAGCUGAUCUCUUGAGACAUGUCUAGUAUUCACCUCAGUGUCAAUGGCACUAGCUAUAAUGCCCAUGAUGAUGCUUCUGCCUUGUGAGAAUUGCACAUAAGGUCACGGUAGAAGCCUGGUUGCGCCAUGCCAAAGACAUGAUCUAGCCUUGUGCACAUUGGGCAUGGAGGGUGGAGCUUGCAAAGGCUUGCGAAUGUCGUAACGAGAUAGGAUAGUAGCCCCUCAAAAAGCAGAAGAAGCAUCAAAACCCAUUCCAGGAUUACUGAAGAUAGUACAACAAAGAGCUGCUGAUAUCUCCAGGUUAUAACAGUACUAGU
Molecule: small RNA, 1865 nt
Filed under: Oryza sativa Japonica Group (Japanese rice)
Lineage: Eukaryota; Viridiplantae; Streptophyta; Magnoliopsida; Poales; Poaceae
Description: sRNA Os03g0799250
Source: RNAcentral